Molecule: ribosomal RNA, 378 nt
Filed under: uncultured eukaryote
Lineage: Eukaryota
Description: partial 18S ribosomal RNA
Rfam family: Eukaryotic small subunit ribosomal RNA
Source: RNAcentral
CAAUAGCGUAUAUUUAAGUUGUUGCAGUUAAAAAGCUCGUAGUUGGAUUUCGGGUGGGACGCAGCGGUCUCGCAUUGCGUUUGUACUACUGCAGCCCUCCUUCUUGCCGGGGGCGGCCUCUCGGACUUCACUGUCUGGGGGUCAGAAUCGGCGAUGUUACUUUGAGUAAAUUAGAGUGUUCAAAGCAAGCUUACGCUCUGAAUAUAAUAGCAUGGGAUAACACGACAGGACUCUGGCCUAUCGUGUUGGUCUAUAGGACCAGAGUAAUGAUUAAGAGGGACAGUCGGGGGCAUUCGUAUUCCGUUGUCAGAGGUGAAAUUCUUGGAUUUACGGAAGACGAACAUCUGCGAAAGCAUUUGCCAAGGAUGUUUUCAUUGA